AGAGUUUGAUCCUGGCUCAGAAUCAACGCUGGCGGCGUGCCUAACACAUGCAAGUCGCACGAGAAAGUGGAGCAAUCCAUGAGUACAGUGGCGCACGGGUGAGUAACACGUGAAUGAUCUACCUCCGAGUGGGGAAUAACUGAGAGAAAUCUUAGCUAAUACCGCAUAAUACCCACGGGUCAAAGCAGCAAUGCGCUUGGAGAGGAGUUCGCGGCCGAUUAGCUAGUUGGCGGGGUAAUGGCCCACCAAGGCGAUGAUCGGUAUCCGGCCUGAGAGGGCGCACGGACACACUGGAACUGAAACACGGUCCAGACUCCUACGGGAGGCAGCAGUGGGGAAUUUUGCGCAAUGGGGGAAACCCUGACGCAGCAACGCCGCGUGGAGGAUGAAAUCCCUUGGGAUGUAAACUCCUUUCGAUUGGGAAGAUUAUGACGGUACCAAUAGAAGAAGCCCCGGCUAACUUCGUGCCAGCAGCCGCGGUAAUACGAGGGGGGCAAGCGUUGUUCGGAAUUAUUGGGCGUAAAGGGUGCGUAGGCGGUUUGACAAGUCUGAUGUGAAAUCUAUGGGCUCAACCCAUAGUCUGCAUCGGAAACUGUCGGGCUUGAGUAUGGGAGAGGUGAGUGGAAUUUCCGGUGUAGCGGUGAAAUGCGUAGAUAUCGGAAGGAACACCUGUGGCGAAAGCGGCUCACUGGACCAUUACUGACGCUGAGGCACGAAAGCUAGGGGAGCAAACAGGAUUAGAUACCCUAGUAGUCC
Molecule: ribosomal RNA, 756 nt
Filed under: uncultured bacterium
Lineage: Bacteria
Description: bacterial SSU rRNA
Rfam family: Bacterial small subunit ribosomal RNA
Source: RNAcentral